Long non-coding RNA from Bombus pyrosoma, 2619 nucleotides. RefSeq lists it as uncharacterized. Lineage: Eukaryota; Metazoa; Arthropoda; Insecta; Hymenoptera; Apidae. The record is from RefSeq and is a predicted model, not a curated record. The transcript is spliced from 4 exons.
AGUAGCAGCCAGCGAGCAAGGAGGCUGGUGAAGGCAGAGGAGGGAGCCAGAGGAGGGGAUCGAGGGGCAACGCGAGGAGUGAGCAACCACGCACGGCAUCCUUCCUUCGGAGCCAAGUGAAGCGGCCGAACUGGUCCUGAAACACGGUGCAGUGCUCGAGCGGAUCGUGGCGUGUCGGGUCCCCAGUUCCGGGGCCCGGCGUCCGCAGCCCUCAGUCGUUCGCCGAUGCCCCGACGAGGAGGAGCACCGAGUUGUCCUAGGGCAAGGUCAUCCCUUGGAUGAGCCACCCUGUGAAUCUCCGACCGAUUCGAACCUCCCAGUUCGCGCGUGCCAUCCGCGACCCUCGUUAUCUCGUGCUUCUCGACGUUCGUGUAACAUUUUCACUGAUGUUCGCGUCGCGUUCGUCGGGGUCGUGUUUCAGGCUCGUCGAACCUCGAGUUUGAAAUCUCGUUUCGAUCGAAGGAUUUCCUCGCGAACGACGUUCCAACGUGACUAUCGUUUCUCUGUUGCCAUGGACUCGAAUUUUACGGGAAAUCGACUGGGUAAUCGAGAGUACCGGCAUUUCCGACGAUUACCGGCAAGGUCUAUGAUCACGCGGAUCGAUAGGGGAUCGAUGGAGGAAAAAGGAGCUCGGAGAAGAUGGGAUACCUUACGGCGCGGUGGCCAGACCAGGGAUACAGUGAACGAGCUUCAUGUACGGGACAACGUGACGUUCCAUCCAGUGAACCACGGACCGUUCUAAGAUCGUUCGUUUGAAAGCAAACAUAUUUUCGUAUACGUCGAUGAUACUAGGAGAAUGUUAACAGAGGGUGCUACGGAGAAAUGAUCUUAUUAACAGGUGUCGAAGCUCGUUUGGACUAUUUCCUCGUAAGAAGAUACUCGGAGUGCGAGAUCGUCCACUGACUGACAAGUUCGAUUCGCAGCGGUCGUGCCUUGUGACGCGUGACGAGGAUAAAUCGCGUUUUCACCGUAUCGGCAAAGUGGACGAUUAGGCUUGGUACGCGCGCGAUCGAGGGAGGAGGUGCAACGGGGGCAGUGAGACGAAGAAAGGACGUGAAACUGCACGGGCACGGCGAAAGAGCGUAGAAGAAAGAACAGGCGAAAAAAGAGCGAACGAUAGAGAAGCACGAGGGGAACGAGGCCGAGGGAACCGGAGGAACAGAGACGGAACGAAAAAAGGAGGAUUUGCCAACUUCCUGCGAGCCGAGAACGUGAGAGAAAGGCCGCCUCGAAGCAUGUAUAGCUCGAUCGAUAAACAAACCUUCGUCGAAGCGUAAUAUCGAGGUGUGGACUCUCGUGUACCCUGGUCAAUUGGAAUAUCUUGGUCUUGCAUAAAGAUGCCGCCUUAUCGAUUCUCAAAUUUGAAAUUUUUCAGCAUCUUUUAAUUCCAUCGAGAGCAAAACGUCGAUGAAAAUACUACGAUUUCGUAAUCCGAAUGAAAAUUCUGUUGAAAGUCAAAGCACGUCGCGGUUAACGGAGGCCCACGCGCAACAGUCUGACAGGUGUUGCGCUUCCGGUUCCAGAUCGGAGUCCAUCGAGCCGGCUCCGCUACCCAAGGAGCAUAUAAUGCGGUUUUAAUGCCAAAGGUGUCGGGUUUCAUAAACGAACCGGUACGAGCUCCGUAUGCGAGUUUGUCACGGGUCAUUCGCGUCGCGGGUUACGAAAAACGAGCGGUUGAAACGAGCACAUGGCACGUGGGCGUCCGACGGAGAGCCGUUUCCUUUUCGCGCGAAAAUGAUACCAGGCAAACAAAGAAAAGGACAGGGAUACGUUGAGAAAGCGAGAAAGAGGAUGAAAUCGUUGAACCGUUCCUUCAGGUGUGAAGCUAAGUGUAAUAAUCUAAUUGUAUCGAAUAUCCUCGAAAUAUGAAAUUGAAAUGAUAAUUUUCGUGAAAUGGUUGUGAUUCGGGACUUUGCAACGAACGGAGUCGGAUCAUUAAAAUGGAAUAUUUUUAGCGAACACUCGUUACGAUACAGAUGACACGUACGAUUGGAUAGAGAAAGAGGGACUUUAAUUCGAUGAAUAAUAACAGGACAGAAGAUCGGAAAGAAAAUUUCAGGUGCGUAUUGGACGUGGUCGAGCAGUGGUGACUUCGUCGUUGGAAGAUCGAGGCCCCGGGGACUUCGAUGCGUGCACAGACGAUGGAUUUCCGGCGCCAUUGGACGAAGGCCGAGUGUCCAUCAGACAGAAACCACCCCCGCAACGGCUUCUCAAUCUGCCCAAAGCGAGGAGGUUUCACGGGCGGUGCGGAAAAAAUCCCUGGUCCGUCCGAUACGUGAAAUUGGCCUGGCGGGCAGCAGAAUCGGCGGGCAUAAUCGAGGUGUAGCAGACAGAGCACUCGUUAAUGACCGAUUCCACGAUGAUUGUAAUCAACGGAGAUGCUAUUUCGAUGGGAGAGAUGCAAUGAAUGCAAUUAAUAAGAAGGAUGGCGAAAAGUUAUAAAAGAAACUUGAUAUUCCCUUGAAUAUUUAUUAGUAUAAAAAUAUUAUGUAUUCCUUCAUCGUUUACAGAUUUUCUGUUUUUUAUUUUGACUGAAAACUUCUUUAAAAAAGAGACACUAAUUUUUACGUAGUGAGAAAUUCCGUAGGAACGAAGCCUGAAUAUUUUGUAAUGUCGAGA